Piliocolobus tephrosceles (Ugandan red Colobus) is the source of this 2968-nucleotide long non-coding RNA. NCBI's taxonomy places the organism in Eukaryota, Metazoa, Chordata, Mammalia, Primates, Cercopithecidae. The record is from Ensembl.
AUGAUAAAUUAUGAAUCAAAAGAGAUUCCAGGGGAAUCAAACGAAAGUAAAAACAGUUAUAUUAAUAUUUGUGAAAUUUUAAAAAAAGAUGAAGAAAUAAAUAAUGUAUUAAAGAAUUUAAAAAACGAUGAAAAACAUUUAAGUUUUCCAUUAUUAAAUUUUUAUUUUUUAAAUAAAAAUUUCAAAUAUAAUAAUUUAAAAGAAAGUUUAGAAUUAAAAGAAAAUGUAAAUGAGUAUAUAAAUUUGAGACUUCUUAGGAAAGAAGUUUAUCCAAAGGAUGUAUAUUUUAACAAGGAGAAAUAUAAAAGAGAAAAUGCAGCAGUUAAAAAAUUGAUGAUUGUUAAAAAUUUAAUAAAUUUGAAAAAAAAACAUAUUAAUAAUAAGGAAGUUACUUCCAACAGCACUAGCAAUUGUUGUAGUAGUAACAGUAACAAUAAUAGUAACAAUAACAGUGACAAUAAUAGUAACAAUAACAGUGGCAAUAACAGUGGCAAUAACAGUGGCAAUAACAGUGGCAAUAAUAGUGACAAUGAUAGUAGUAGUUUGAGUAGUUGUACUGAUACUAGUUGUACAGAGAUAUAUCAUACCUUUUUCAAUUUUAAUGAAAAAAAACAUAAUAAUCAGAUUAACAAUCGAAAGGUUUGUGAUCGUUACGAUAACUAUAACCAAUGGAUUGGGGAUAAUAUAUCGGAUAAUAUAUCGGAUAAUAUAUCGGAUAAAAUAUCGGAUAAUAUAUCUGAUAAAAUAUCUGAUAAUAUAUCUGAUAAUAUAUCUGAUAAUAUAUCUUAUGACACACCAUAUAACACUCCAUAUAACAUAACGGAUGAAGCAUCACAUAACACACCUUAUGAAACACCAAAUAACAUACCAGAAGAUGUAUUAAAUAUUUGGGAUUUACCAUUUUGGGCAAAACCACCAAUAGAAUUAAUACGAAUUUAUAAUUAUGAAAGUUUAUAUUCAUUUAAUGAUUGGGAAUCUGAACAUACAGAAAGAUUAGUUUUUCAUAACAUUAGAAAUAUUUUAUACAAUUUUCCAGAUACAAUAAAUCAAAUAGAAUUAUUAUAUCCUAAAAAUUAUUAUAUUACCAUUUUUCCUAAUAUUUAUUUUAAAAACAUAAUUGAUUUUUUAAAAACUGAAAAUUUUAAACUAAUAAAAAUUGUUAUAGUACUAAAAGGUAAUAAUUAUAUUGAUGAAGAUAUGAUUAAUUAUAUUAAAAAUAAUUUAGAAAAUUUUAAAGGAAUCACAACUGAAAAUGUUAAAAAGGAUAUACAAAAAAGGUACAAUAAUAAUAAUAACAAUAAUAAUAAUAACAAUAAUAAUAAUAACAAUAAUAAUAAUAUUAAUAAUAUUAAUACGUUUACCCAAAAUAGUUACAAUACUAAAUAUUAUAAUAAAGGUUAUAAUAACAUAUAUAAUAACACUACAAGUGAAAAUAAACGAGAUACAAAAACUAUAUUAUCAGCUUUAAAAAAAUGUUACAAAGAUGAAAAUAAGUGUGUGUCUUCGAUUGGUCGUGUCACUGGGGGAACAACAUCUAUUUAUAUCAAGUCAAAAUGUCAAAACAGACAGAACGACAAAAACGGCAAAAACGGCAAAAACGACAAAAACGACAAAAACGGCAAAAACGGCAAAAACGACAAAAACGACAAAAACGACAAAAAUUAUGAAAACGGCAAAAACGAUAAAAAUGAUAAAAACGACAAAAACGACAAAAAUGAUAAAAACGACAAAAAUGAUAAAAACGACAAAAACGGCAAAAACGACAAAAAUGAUAAAAACAAAUGUAAUGGUACAAAAAAAAAUAAAUGUCCAAAAAAAUUAAAAAUAUAUGACAAUUUUGACAUUGUUCAUAAUAUUAGUAAUAUAGAACAAGGCAAGUUAGUAAAACCGUCGAGCGAAAAAAGUAAAGAUGUGAAUAAGUUAGAAACAUACCAAACUCGUUUUAACUAUGAGUGUAGUGAGUGGGAAAAUAUCACUAUUGAUAAUAUAGUUAGUAAUACGCAAAAUGUUACUCACAAAAAAACAGAUAAUUACAACAAACCAGACAUACAUGACAUAAUUAACGAAAAUAUACCAAUAAAUAAACUUAAAAAAAUAGAAUUUUUUGACAGAAUUACAACAGAAGAUAAAUAUAAAAAUGUUAAUAAAAUUGAAAAGGUAAAUAAAUUUGCUUCUUUUAAUAUGACUGAUCAGGCUAUAAGGGGAGAGGAGAUUCGUUGUGGAAACAUAAAUGGGAACAGUACUAAAAUAAAAAGUAAAUUAAUAAAAAAUAAUAAUCUACCUGAUGUCAGUUACGAUGAUAACAGUCAAGAUGAUAACAGUCACGAUGAUAACAGUCACGAUGAUAAUCUAUCAGUUGAGUUAAAAAACAGUAUUGAUAACAUUGCUAACAUUUGUAAUACUGAUACAACAUUAUUUAAUAUGUAUUAUCAAGAUAGUAAUAUUAUGCAAGAAAAAAAAAAGUUACCCGUUAUAGAUGUUCAGAAAAAAGAAUGUAUUAAAAAUAAUAACAGUAGCAGUAGUAAAAUUAAAAACAAUAACAGUAGCAGUAGUAACAUUAAAAACAAUAACAGUAGCAGUAGUAACAUUAAAACUAAUAAAAAUAACAGUUAUAACAAUAGCAGUAACAAUAAUAUGGAUCAGUUUUCAGAAUCUUCAUAUGGUGAAAAUGAUGAAUCAGACGAUGAAAAUGUAGAUGGUUUCUUUAAAACAAAAAAAUUAAAAAAUACAGUAUAUGAUAAUGAUAAUUUUACUUUUACUAAUUUUAUGAAUAAAAUAAUAAAUUAUGAUACAAUAAUUAAUUACAUAAAUCAUGAUCAACAACGACAAGAAAACGAACAAUCGAAAAUAAAAUUUUAUAUUAAACUUUUAGUUUUUGAAAAAUCAAAUACACCAACUUAUGAAGAUAGUAGUAAUAAUCAAUAUAGAAAUGGUACUACUACCACGACUACACCUAUUACUACUGCCA